GGGCGGGGGGCGGAGCAAGGAGGCUGUUUUAAAAGACCAAUAACAGAAACGAUCCAAGUGAAACUCCCGUCAAUGCUAAGGCACCCGGCCCCAGGAAAGCAGACCCCACAGGUGCAGGGUAGCCAAGCCCACAAUGAGUAGGAUGCUGAAAAUUCUAGGUCAUAUAACAGGAGUUGGAUCUUGACAAUCAGGCCUCGUCCAAACGUUUUUUUUGCAUCAACUAGAAAAAAGUUAAACUGAAGUUGCAAAGUUUAAUUGAUGCUGAGGGAUUAAGCUGUAGUGACCUCAUGUUUACGCCCAUCUUCUAGGAGUAAUUUGGUUCGUGCACAGGAGGUUACGCCCCAGGCAGAAAUGCCUUUUGUGUUUACCCACAGUUCAGUAACAAUGCGAUCGAAGUUUAUUCUCAGAGUUCCGCGGCUUCCCCGCACUCGGCUCUACCCGCCGCGCUCCAAUGGAACCGAGUGUCAGAUCUGAACAGCCAAUCUCCGGCAGACGUGACGUCAGGCAGUAAAUCCUAAUUGGGGAAAGCGUGAGAUGAGCCCGAGAACGCGCCGCCACCCUCCACAUCCACAUAGAUUGUUACUGCGGGUCGGCAAGGCAGAGGUCCCCGCUCCCUGGUCCUGUGUCCCAGAAAAGGACAAAGAACUCAGCAAACUCACUGAACGGAACUUUCCUGCUAGAAGCCCGGCUGAACUCGUUUGAGACUGUUUGAAAGGCAUUUCCAGUCAUUUUCUUAGCCAUGUUUGCUCAGAUACUUUCUGCGGGUAUUGGAUUAAAAUACCAGAUCAGGCCCCAGAAAGGACUGCUCAGAGUGUGCAGUGAUGUCCAUCGGAAAAUGUUUAGGUGGUUCUCUUUGGGACUAUAAACUCCGCCUGAAUGUUUCGGGUCUGCAACUUCUGGUACCCUAUUCCUCGCUGGGCAUGUACCAGGACGGGCAGCAGGGGGCGCCCGCGUAGACGGGGAAAACCCGCAGUAAGACUCGCCCCCAGGAGCAGCCCUGCUCUUGGUGAGGAGACCUCUAGGACAGGAAUACAGGAUUUAGGAUCCAUGACAACAUCAAGCCAUUCUUAGUAUUUUUUUAAAGCAAAAUCAGUUCCUUAGACCCUUAUCCGAAAGGAAAGGCAACUCACUGGAAAUGACCCAAAACACAUUAAUAGGAUUAUGAUGUCCCAAGGGAGAGUCCCUGGGAUCACGAUGUUUUUUGUUUUUUUUUUUGCGAGGAGGGGGGAAAGACCAUGAAAUAAUAAUACUUACUUUUAGCAUUUAAAUUAAAAACAAUGGUUCCAACAGAAUGCACAGUUUCAUUACAUGCAUGCCAUAGAAAACCCGUGGUCAGAACAGUUUUUGUUUUUUUUUUAAUCCAUUUAACUAAGAAUGGUGGUCUGUUUCCAAGGCUUUGUUGUUCAUAUUCAUAUUUAUUUGUGCCUUAUCCUGGCUAGUAGAUAGUUGAUAACAAAUGACAAUGGUUUUAAGAAUUGAUGGAAAAUAAAGUUGAGGAAACUUAA
Molecule: non-coding RNA, 1505 nt
Organism: Sus scrofa (pig)
Lineage: Eukaryota; Metazoa; Chordata; Mammalia; Artiodactyla; Suidae
Source: RefSeq, a predicted model, not a curated record